AUGAAGUUUGGAGACCCGUGAGCCGAUGCCUCCACGCAGACGCAUGUUUUUUGCUACAUCAUUAUUUUGAUACCCGGUGGUUUGUUCUGCUGGUUGUGGGUUGUUUGCCAAGGGCCUUGGAGCAGCAGAGCUCAGGAAUGCAGCCUGCAAGCUGAAGAGUGUCACUGAAACCUGCUUUUUCAGAGCCAAGUACCACAGGUGAAUUCACUGUGACCAGCAGAUUGAGGCAGGUUCCUCUGAGGAGAAAAAACAGAGCAAGGGCCUGGAGGAGUUGUCAGCUGAGUGGGCUCUGCACUGUAGGAAGCAGGAACACCUCACCAUGGAGGUGUUGGAACCACAACUGUCCAUGAUCCAGGAAUGAUGUCAGUGGAAGGGGUAUUUCACUGGGAACAGCCCCCAGUGAGAUGCAGAGGGACACGGAGAACUUCACCCCUGGCUUGUGCAAAGUGUCUAAAAGUCACUGAGUUUCCUUUUUUUCCGGUUUCUUCUGUGACUUUAGGAAGUGAUGACAUUCCCUUCCUGCAGAGGCAGCACGUGCACAGGUUUUUUUACACAAAUGAGAUCCAUUGUCCACUGUGGCUCCCUGAGUUCAGGGCACUCCAAGGGUGACUGUUCAACCACUGCUCUGCUGUUUGCACAUCAUCUCUGCAUAAAAUGGUUACAGACCCCAAGUCUCCAUCCCUGUAAAUGCUCAGCACGGCACAGAACUGCUCCUUGUUCUCCUUCCCCACCUCCAGCAGGCAGGUAUUUAACACGAGUUCACAACUGGUUUCAUUCUAACCUUCAGUACCAAAAUACUCCAUGUGCCUUUAUGAAAGGACUUUACUUUCAAGUUAAUCUUUUAAAGCUGCAACUCAAAGGUUUACCGAAUAACUAAAGGUUUACCUUAAAAUUUAGGUUACUCAGCAUUACAGGGAAGUUGUAUCUUCCCCCCAAAACCUGGCACCUCCACUGGACACUGAGGGCUCCAGUUCCUGUGGGUUUAAGGACACUCAUUCCUCAUCUUCAGCGUGGUUAUGGUUAAUGAGACAAAUAUUGAUUUGAUGUACAACGUUGGAAAAAACAUGUUAUUUUUAUUAUUUUAAAACUUUACUUUUGAAGAUGUUGUUGUGAAGUCAAACAAGCUGGUGAUUUCCUCUCCCCACCCCCUUCCAGGCACUACUCCCUCCAGCUCCAAACCCUCCCU
Molecule: long non-coding RNA, 1186 nt
Organism: Lepidothrix coronata (blue-crowned manakin)
Lineage: Eukaryota; Metazoa; Chordata; Aves; Passeriformes; Pipridae
Exons: 5
Source: RefSeq, a predicted model, not a curated record